UUCGUAGGCGGGAUAUUAAGUCAGUAGUGAAAUCCCGCAGCUUAACUGUGGAACUGUUAUUGAUACUGGUUUUCUUGAAUAUAGUUGAGGUAGGCGGAAUGUGUAAUGUAGCGGUGAAAUGCUUAGAUAUUACACAGAACACCGAUUGCGAAGGCAGCUUACUAAGCUAUGAUUGACGCUGAGGUACGAAAGCGUGGGGAGCGAACAGGAUUAGAUACCCUGGUAGUCC
Molecule: ribosomal RNA, 229 nt
Filed under: uncultured bacterium
Lineage: Bacteria
Description: partial 16S ribosomal RNA
Rfam family: Bacterial small subunit ribosomal RNA
Source: RNAcentral